UAAGUUGCAGGGUAUAGACCCGAAACCCGGUGAUCUAGCCAUGGGCAGGUUGAAGGUUGGGUAACACUAACUGGAGGACCGAACCGACUAAUGUUGAAAAAUUAGCGGAUGACCUGUGGCUGGGGGUGAAAGGCCAAUCAAACCGGGAGAUAGCUGGUUCUCCCCGAAAGCUAUUUAGGUAGCGCCUCGUGAAUUCAUCUCCGGGGGUAGAGCACUGUUUCGGCUAGGGGGCCAUCCCGGCUUACCAACCCGAUGCAAACUGCGAAUACCGGAGAAUGUUAUCACGGGAGACACACGGCGGGUGCUAACGUCCGUCGUGAAGAGGGAAACAACCCAGACCGCCAGCUAAGGUCCCAAAGUCAUGGUUAAGUGGGAAACGAUGUGGGAAGGCCCAGACAGCCAGGAUGUUGGCUUAGAAGCAGCCAUCAUUUAAAGAAAGCGUAAUAGCUCACUGGUCGAGUCGGCCUGCGCGGAAGAUGUAACGGGGCUAAACCAUGCACCGAAGCUGCGGCAGCGACACUGUGUGUUGUUGGGUAGGGGAGCGUUCUGUAAGCCUGUGAAGGUGUGUCGUGAGGCAUGCUGGAGGUAUCAGAAGUGCGAAUGCUGACAUAAGUAACGAUAAAGCGGGUGAAAAGCCCGCUCGCCGGAAGACCAAGGGUUCCUGUCCAACGUUAAUCGGGGCAGGGUGAGUCGACCCCUAAGGCGAGGCCGAAAGGCGUAGUCGAUGGGAAACGGGUUAAUAUUCCCGUACUUGGUGUUACUGCGAAGGGGGGACGGAGAAGGCUAUGUUGGCCGGGCGACGGUUGUCCCGGUUUAAGCGUGUAGGUGUGUGUUCCAGGUAAAUCCGGUUCACUUUAACACUGAGGCGUGACGACGAGGCACUACGGUGCUGAAGCAACAAAUGCCCUGCUUCCAGGAAAAGCCUCUAAGCAUCAGGUAACAUCAAAUCGUACCCCAAACCGACACAGGUGGUCAGGUAGAGAAUACCAAGGCGCUUGAGAGAACUCGGGUGAAGGAACUAGGCAAAAUGGUGCCGUAACUUCGGGAGAAGGCACGCUGACACGUAGGUGAAGUGAUUUACUCAUGGAGCUGAAGUCAGUCGAAGAUACCAGCUGGCUGCAACUGUUUAUUAAAAACACAGCACUGUGCAAACACGAAAGUGGACGUAUACGGUGUGACGCCUGCCCGGUGCCGGAAGGUUAAUUGAUGGGGUCAGCGCAAGCGAAGCUCCUGAUCGAAGCCCCGGUAAACGGCGGCCGUAACUAUAACGGUCCUAAGGUAGCGAAAUUCCUUGUCGGGUAAGUUCCGACCUGCACGAAUGGCGUAAUGAUGGCCAGGCUGUCUCCACCCGAGACUCAGUGAAAUUGAACUCGCUGUGAAGAUGCAGUGUACCCGCGGCAAGACGGAAAGACCCCGUGAACCUUUACUAUAGCUUGACACUGAACAUUGAGCCUUGAUGUGUAGGAUAGGUGGGAGGCUUUGAAGUGUGGACGCCAGUCUGCAUGGAGCCGACCUUGAAAUACCACCCUUUAAUGUUUGAUGUUCUAACGUGGACCCGUUACCCGGGUUGCGGACAGUGUCUGGUGGGUAGUUUGACUGGGGCGGUCUCCUCCUAAAGAGUAACGGAGGAGCACGAAGGUUGGCUAAUCCUGGUCGGACAUCAGGAGGUUAGUGCAAUGGCAUAAGCCAGCUUGACUGCGAGCGUGACGGCGCGAGCAGGUGCGAAAGCAGGUCAUAGUGAUCCGGUGGUUCUGAAUGGAAGGGCCAUCGCUCAACGGAUAAAAGGUACUCCGGGGAUAACAGGCUGAUACCGCCCAAGAGUUCAUAUCGACGGCGGUGUUUGGCACCUCGAUGUCGGCUCAUCACAUCCUGGGGCUGAAGUAGGUCCCAAGGGUAUGGCUGUUCGCCAUUUAAAGUGGUACGCGAGCUGGGUUUAGAACGUCGUGAGACAGUUCGGUCCCUAUCUGCCGUGGGCGCUGGAGAACUGAGGGGGGCUGCUCCUAGUACGAGAGGACCGGAGUGGACGCAUCACUGGUGUUCGGGUUGUCAUGCCAAUGGCACUGCCCGGUAGCUAAAUGCGGAAGAGAUAAGUGCUGAAAGCAUCUAAGCACGAAACUUGCCCCGAG
Molecule: ribosomal RNA, 2126 nt
Filed under: Salmonella enterica subsp. enterica serovar Enteritidis
Lineage: Bacteria; Pseudomonadati; Pseudomonadota; Gammaproteobacteria; Enterobacterales; Enterobacteriaceae
Description: partial 23S ribosomal RNA
Rfam family: Bacterial large subunit ribosomal RNA
Source: RNAcentral